GGGCCCGCACAAGCGGUGGAGUAUGUGGUUUAAUUCGAUGCAACGCGAAGAACCUUACCAGGGUUUGACAUCCUGCGAACCUCUUAGAAAUUUGAGGGUGCCUUCGGGAAUGCAGUGACAGGUGGUGCAUGGCUGUCGUCAGCUCGUGUCGUGAGAUGUUGGGUUAAGUCCCGCAACGAGCGCAACCCACGUUUUUUAGUUGCCAGCAUUUAGUUGGGCACUCUAGAAAGACCGCCGGUGAUAAACCGGAGGAAGGUGUGGAUGACGUCAAGUCAUCAUGCCCCUUACACCCUGGGCUACACACGUACUACAAUGCUACGGACAAAGGGCAGCAAACUCGCGAGAGCUAGCAAAUCCCAUAAACCGUGGCUCAGUUCAGAUCGUAGGCUGCAACUCGCCUACGUGAAGUAGGAAUCGCUAGUAAUCGCAGGU
Molecule: ribosomal RNA, 432 nt
Filed under: uncultured bacterium
Lineage: Bacteria
Description: bacterial SSU rRNA
Rfam family: Bacterial small subunit ribosomal RNA
Source: RNAcentral